This 591-nucleotide ribosomal RNA is filed under the name uncultured bacterium. RNAcentral describes it as "bacterial SSU rRNA". It matches the Rfam family "Bacterial small subunit ribosomal RNA", at positions 77 to 650 of the family's 1533-position model. The record is from RNAcentral.
UGCACUCACCGAUAAAGAGUUGAGUGGCGAACGGGUGAGUAACACGUGGGCAACCUGCCCAAAAGAGAGGGAUAACACUUGGAAACAGGUGCUAAUACCGCAUAACCAUAGUUACCGCAUGGUAACUAUGUAAAAGGUGGCUAUGCUACCGCUUUUGGAUGGGCCCGCGACGCAUUAGCUAGUUGGUGGGGUAAAGGCUUACCAAGGCAACGAUGCGUAGCCGAACUGAGAGGUUGAUCGGCCACAUUGGGACUGAGACACGGCCCAAACUCCUACGGGAGGCAGCAGUAGGGAAUCUUCCACAAUGGGCGAAAGCCUGAUGGAGCAACGCCGCGUGGGUGAAGAAGGUCUUCGGAUCGUAAAACCCUGUUGUUAGAGAAGAAAGUGCGUGAGAGUAACUGUUCACGUUUCGACGGUAUCUAACCAGAAAGCCACGGCUAACUACGUGCCAGCAGCCGCGGUAAUACGUAGGUGGCAAGCGUUAUCCGGAUUUAUUGGGCGUAAAGAGAACGCAGGCGGUCUUUUAAGUCUGAUGUGAAAGCCUUCGGCUUAACCGGAGUAGUGCAUUGGAAACUGGGAGACUUGAGUGCA